This 84-nucleotide transfer RNA is filed under the name Fasciola gigantica. It matches the Rfam family "tRNA". Rfam says of the family: Transfer RNA (tRNA) molecules are approximately 80 nucleotides in length. The record is from Rfam by way of RNAcentral. Lineage: Eukaryota; Metazoa; Platyhelminthes; Trematoda; Plagiorchiida; Fasciolidae.
GGUCUCGUAGCUCAGCUGGUAGAGUACUCGCGGUACUAAGGCGACGAUGGUGACCAUGUUUUGGUUCGAAUCCCGCCGAGGCCA